UACGUAGGGGGCGAGCGUUGUCCGGAAUCAUUGGGCGUAAAGCGCGUGUAGGCGGCCCGGUAAGUCCGCUGUGAAAGUCCAGGGCUCAACCCUGGGAUGCCGGUGGAUACUGUCGGGCUCGAGUCCGGAAGAGGCGAGUGGAAUUCCUGGUGUAGCGGUGAAAUGCGCAGAUAUCAGGAGGAACACCAAUAGCGAAGGCAGCUCGCUGGGACGUUACUGACACUAAGGCGCGAAAGCGUGGGGAGCGAACAGG
Molecule: ribosomal RNA, 253 nt
Filed under: uncultured bacterium
Lineage: Bacteria
Description: partial 16S ribosomal RNA
Rfam family: Bacterial small subunit ribosomal RNA
Source: RNAcentral